UUAGCUUAUAUAUACGACGUGC
This 22-nucleotide non-coding RNA is filed under the name Arabidopsis thaliana (thale cress). The record is from RNAcentral. Lineage: Eukaryota; Viridiplantae; Streptophyta; Magnoliopsida; Brassicales; Brassicaceae.